GAAGAAAAUGGUUGUGGAAAAGAGCAACUGGGCCAGGUAUAUCUACCUCCUAGCACACUGCCUAACACAUACGAAGUGCUAUUCAAAUAAUUCGCUUCACUAAAAAGACUUUGCAAACAGCGCUAAAGGGAAACACCAGCCUCUAUCUUCGUGCUUAGAAGCGCCGGAUAUUUCCCUUGCACCAGAACGCAAGUCUGCCAACGCAGCCUCCAUGAUUGACAGAGGAGCAACGCCUCCUAGUGGGACUUCGGGGAACUGCACCUCUAACGGCAGCGCCUGGGAAGCUGAGUCAAGAGGAUCGCUUCGAGUUUGAGGCCAGCCAGGAGCACACGGUGAGUUUAAGACCGGCCUGAACUACAGAGGGAGACACUGUCCCAAAAACAAACAAACAAACAACA
Fukomys damarensis (Damara mole-rat) is the source of this 398-nucleotide long non-coding RNA. RefSeq lists it as uncharacterized. The record is from RefSeq and is a predicted model, not a curated record. The transcript is spliced from 3 exons. Lineage: Eukaryota; Metazoa; Chordata; Mammalia; Rodentia; Bathyergidae.